RNAcentral lists this ribosomal RNA (465 nucleotides) under uncultured bacterium. Its description in RNAcentral is "bacterial SSU rRNA". It matches the Rfam family "Bacterial small subunit ribosomal RNA", at positions 330 to 793 of the family's 1533-position model. The record is from RNAcentral.
UCCAGACUCCUACGGGAGGCAGCAGUGAGGAAUAUUGGUCAAUGGGCGGGAGCCUGAACCAGCCAAGCCGCGUGAGGGAAGAAGGUACAGCGUAUCGUAAACCUCUUUUGUCAGGGAACAAAGGCGGGGACUAGUCCCCGGAUGAGGGUACCUGAAGAAAAAGCAUCGGCUAACUCCGUGCCAGCAGCCGCGGUAAUACGGAGGAUGCGAGCGUUAUCCGGAUUUAUUGGGUUUAAAGGGUGCGCAGGCGGCGUGUUAAGGCGGGGGUAAAAGCCGGGGGCUCAACCCCGGCGAGCCGUUGAAACUGGCGUUCUUGAGUGGGCGAGAAGUAUGCGGAAUGCGUGGUGUAGCGGUGAAAUGCAUAGAUAUCACGCAGAACUCCGAUUGCGAAGGCAGCCUUCCGACGCCCUACUGACGCUGAGGCACGAAAGUGCGGGGAUCGAACAGGAUUAGAUACCCCCGUAA